RNAcentral lists this transfer RNA (83 nucleotides) under Paludibacteraceae bacterium. RNAcentral's name for it is "tRNA-Phe". It matches the Rfam family "tRNA". From Rfam's summary of the family: Transfer RNA (tRNA) molecules are approximately 80 nucleotides in length. Their secondary structure includes four short double-helical elements and three loops (D, anti-codon, and T loops). The record is from RNAcentral. RNAcentral also lists the same sequence under 1 other name. Lineage: Bacteria; Pseudomonadati; Bacteroidota; Bacteroidia; Bacteroidales; Paludibacteraceae.
UCCUAUGUGGGCUAACUGGAUAUGCCGCCCGGCGCGCCAUUAAACAUGAAAGGGAGAUGCGGGUUCGAAUCCCGUCAUAGGAA